Molecule: transfer RNA, 64 nt
Filed under: Micronychus sp. UPOL MT0070
Lineage: Eukaryota; Metazoa; Arthropoda; Insecta; Coleoptera; Lycidae
Description: tRNA-Leu
Source: RNAcentral
UUACUUUGGCAGAUUAGUGUAUUUGAUUUAAAAUCAUUUUAAGUAAGGUUUUUACAGGUAAUAN